This 1654-nucleotide long non-coding RNA is filed under the name Nicotiana tabacum (common tobacco). RNAcentral describes it as "long non-coding RNA (NTAB_LNC014450)". Lineage: Eukaryota; Viridiplantae; Streptophyta; Magnoliopsida; Solanales; Solanaceae. The record is from RNAcentral.
GGUAAUACUUUAAUGCUAAAGAGAAGAGCUAUAUUAUAACAUUAUGUUGACUAUAAUUCAAAGCAUCAAAACACUUGAAGCUAGAAGUCUUUCUUACAUAAUUAUACAUGAACCAUGAAAGUAACUCACAGAAAAGAUCCCAAACUAAACAAACAUGGUUAAAAGUAGGGUCUUUAUCUUUUCAUUGCACUAAGUAAACUUAACAGAAUGCAAUUUCAAUCACAUAUAUAAAGAAGAAAACGAUAAUUUAACUAAUUUUUAACAGAUUUACAUGAUGAUAACACUAAUAUAACAUUCAUCUUGAAACAAAAUCAGAUCUAACAUGUUCCAUCAACCAAAUCGGGAUCAAAUCCUUCUUAUUAUCAUCAAGAAUCUGCAAUAUAAGAAUUUGAAAGUUACCUGGUUUAUAGAAUAAUAAAAUACAGCAGUGCAACGAUAAAAAAUUCAGCAGCAAAUACAGUAGAAACAGCAUCAACUCAAGUGUUAAGACAACCCAGAAAACUCCAGAAAGAUGCUUGAAACUGGUAGCUAUCAACUUCACAAAUUGCCUAAGGGAUCUUUCUAUUUUUCUCAAAGUUUUUGCACUCAAAUAAUACUCACAAAGCUCUGAAAUUUCAGCUUGCUAUAUGUAUUAAGCUGCUGAUUUUUCUCAAAGAUAUGUCUUUAAGCAACUCUCCAAGAUGUGUCUGUGUAAGAUAGAGUGUGUGUCCCUUUUUAUAGGAGAAGAGCAACCCUUUAAAUAGGCAAAUAAAGUCAAAUUUUUUGGACAGAUUUUGGUUCACCAAAAGUCUGACUUUGUGUGCUAAACACUGUUCAAAAGCUGUCAAAAAGUAUUGUAUUUAUCACCACACAAUGACUUUUGAGUUUUGUACUCCAAAGUCUUUGCACAGUAAAAACAACCAAACUUGUACUAUUCCUUCUUUAAUUUCGGCUUUUAUCAACACAAAAUUCAAAUACUCAAAUCCAGUAAAAAUAAAUUCACUAAGAACUUGAAACUUUUAUCAUAAACUAUCAUGACUAAGCGAAUAGCUAUUUCAAAACUAAUGAAUAACUAAUUAUCAGUGAUUAAUAACUAUGAACGACUAAGCUAACAUAGAUUAAAUACAACUAAUAAUAAAAAUAUAAAUAAUAUAAUAAUAAUAAUAAUAAUAAAAAUAAAUAAAUAAAUAAAUAAUCAUAAAUUAUGCUAGACAUAAACUAAAUACAAUACAAUUAAAAAAAAUAGACAAAGAAAAUGAGAAUAGGGGUAUACCAAACGAGGGCGUUCGGGGUGGUCGUCGGAAUUUGGCCGGAUUUUUAGUUGCCAGAUUUUCAGGAUAGAAUUGACAUCAAUAGGUAGGUCUUGAUGAGCUCUAUCCGUUGAUGUAGGUAUUGUGGGGUGGUAGUGGCCAGAACUUCAAGGUUUUGGGCAAAAAGGUGGAGGCUUUCCUAGAUCUAAAAUUCAAUGAGUUUGAGGAGGUUUUGAAGGAUUUUGUUUGGAGAUAUGGAAAGAGAAGGUUGUGGAGAUUACAUAGUGUGAAUUUGGGGGUGUUUGGAGGUUGGCCGCCACCGGUGGGCGAUUUUCGACGGCGGUGGCGGCGGCGGAGAGAAGAGAGAGAGGAGAGAAAGAGUUAUGGGGGAAAUGAGGGAAUUUUUCAGAUUUUUGAGUCUUUAA